GAAUCUGGAGAAGACAGAGACCACAGUCCAGGUCAUCACAUGGAGCCUACCAGACCAAGUGCUGGGGACGUGGACAACACCCAGCUUGUCAGGAAGCACCAUACUCUGUCUAAGAUCAAUAUGUCUCAUCACCUGGGACCUCCUCCUGUUCAUUGACCUGUUGCAGUGAGCUUGCCAAACAGAUCUUUGAGCAGCUUGCCAAUUAAGAGAGUCUUUUCAGGAUUUGUAAAUGAGGAAGUUUAGGUGAAAUUGGAAUGAAGCUAUGGGUUGAUAGGCUUGCCCUGAAGAGCUGCAUGGGCCUCCUUGGGAACCGCAAAGAUAAGAGAGGCAAGAGCGUGUGUUGAGAGACCCUGGUCUGAAGCUGUGCCCCCAGGUUGAACCUCUGGGCUGUGUCCCUGUGUCAGAGACCCAGCUCCCUUAGGGACAGUGGGCUGCUUUACUCUCAUUACUUUCAUUCUAUGUGGCAAGUGUCUGACAGUCUAGGACUUUAGAGGCUCAAGCUAUGUAAGUUUCAUGCCAGCCACCCAGAGCCCAAAUCUAAACAGGAUAGUCAGCCUGCUCCUCAUAAAGCUCACAGCCCACAGGGGAGGAUGGUCUCAAACUACUAGUAUCACUAACUAUCCUGCAACACCACGUGGUUAUACAUACUAUAUAAGCUAUAUAUGACUUAUUCAGUUAUACAACUCAUGCAGCUAUGUUAAUUGGUUACAGAGUGAAAUGUGCUCAGUGUUAGUUAACCUGGCCUGACAUGGUCCAGGGGUUGAAGGUGGACUUGCUGGGACAGGGCGUUUAAGCAGAAGCCUGAAGCAGGAGGACGACUAGUGAACUGAAGAGAGGCAGAAGAAACAGCAUGUGCAAAGGCCCUGGGUAAAAGCUUAAAGAAGCACAUGGAUGAGAUAAGAAAAAUCCAUGGAGGGGCCAGAAAGAACACCCGAAGCUAAGCGUCUAUGGAGAGAUGCCAGAUGCUGUUGCCUCUACAUGUCAGAAGUUGGGAUGGAAAAAUUCUACAUAAAAAAUACUGGCCUUUGUCUUUGACCUUUUAGUUAAGAACUGAAGACAGUUUUCCUUGGUGGGGAUACCACUGGCUUCUGGAUAUGAGUGCUUUGUGUUUGGUGUUGAUAAAAAGCUUAUCAAACUUCCUGACAAAAUCAGGCCAACUGCUCUCCCAACGUGUCUGAAAGAGCCCUCAGGACAGACGUGAGAGACUGGAGAGAUGGGGAUUCUUAGAAUGCUAAAAGUGAGACCUGGAAAUACAUCCUUCCACCUCUGCCCAAACUGGACAGCUCUUUAUUAACUCAUUAUUAACUGGGGGAUUUUUGCAGAAAGUAAUGCCUGUGGCCAGCGAUUUUUAUUUUGGCUGGCCAAAAAUUAAUUCUGUUACUUCACUAACACUUUGCGGGUUAUUGCAUUCAACAGUUACACCUGAUGCACCUGUAAAGUCUCCUCCAGCACCAUGAGUUUCAUUUUCACUUUCCAUAUAAGAAUCAAUCACUGAAGUUUUUUGUCUUUUUGUUGGUCUAAUAUUCACACCAUCUGAAUCAGAACUAUGUUCUGAAGAACUAUCAUCUUCUGAGACACUGGUAUAUAUGUCUCUCAGACAAUCAGAGGAAGUAUCUGGAUAAAAUUCACUGAAAAGUUCUUCUUCACUCAGAGUUUUGCAAUGCAUCAUUUUUGAAAAUUUUAUGGUAAUUAACUUAUGUGUAUAAUAUACACAGAAUUGGAAUAAAAACCCAACAGAGCAAAACGUGAAUGGUAACGACUGUCAUAAGUUGUAUAAUAAUCAAUGUUAAGCUCCAGCAGCUUCACACAGUGAUGUUAAUUGUAUCAUUCUGUCAAAACAUAUCGUCAUGUCUCAGGUCAGUAAUCUGUUAAGUCACCAACAGUCUCACAGCCCAGUCAUCUUCUUCCCUCUUUGCUCCAAAAGGGACUUAAAUCAACCAAUAGAAAUAGACAAGUUAAAAAAAGACAACAUGAAACUGGAAAGAGAAAAUGAGGGUGGGGAAGCCUGGCCGGGCACAUUGACUGAUCUGAGCCUGAGUCCCCAGGGAAAGGGCCCUGACUUUUGGGGUUCCCCAAGGCUGGAUCCCCAUCUGUGCUGUGAAUCAGUGUAGGGCCCCUGAGUUCUACUUGGCCACCGAGGCAUCCGUGCUCCUGGGGAGUCGCAACUUUUCUUUCUGUUUUUCCCUGUGCAUUGAACUAUCUCCAAAUCCUAUUUAGAUUACAGUUAUCUUGCAAUAAACAGACCAACAAUCACCAAACACGCUGGAAGUGAGGAAAGUGCCCUCAAUGGGCAGCAUGGCCUGGACUGGACGUGAAGGCCCGCCCAGGAGCAGAGGAGAGCUAGAGGGGCUGCCGGCCGGCGGAUGCUGAGGGCAGGCUCAUGGGGCCUGGGAAUGGGGUCGGAAGCCCAGAAAGUCCAUCUCAUUGUAAAUUUAAUGUGAAGCGAUUAAGAAGUGGUUUUAAAGCAAUCAAUGUCGUCUACACUAGGUGUAUUUUGUAACUUCACAUAACUCUGUAAAAUACGGUUCACUUUUCCUAGACAGUCACACAGACAUUAAAGGUUUCUGUACAGGUGGGAGCAGCAGAGACAGGUGGCUCUCUUUGCAGUGAAAGGAGAGGCAUCACAGCAGCAAAAUGUGUCUUUGGAGAAGAGAGUGCAGUUAAACUCACUCUUGUUCCUGUUUCUUCAGUUUGAUUAGUGGAAUUGGCUUGCUUCAUCAUGAUUAGCCCUGGAUCAUCAAUAGUCUCUAUUCUUUAGCUCCUCUGAUCAGCACAAGAGAAGGGGUUUCCAGCAUCACUUACAAAAAUGAAUGCUUCUGUGCCAUGAAACAGACACUAGCACUGACCUUGAAGACCCCAGACUUCUCAGACCUCUGUUCUCAGGAUCCUUUGUAGUCUCAUAAAUGACUGAGGAGCCAAAGACCUUUUAUUCAUGUGUGGUGAAUGUAUUACUGUAUUAGAACUUAAAAAUAAUAAAAUUUUUAUGUGCAUGCUGCAUGCUAAGUUGCUUCAGUCAUGUCCGACUCUUUGCGACCCUGUGGACGGUAGCCCGCGAGGCUCUCCUGUCUUUUGAAAUCCCCAGACAAAAAUAUUAGAGUGGGUUGCCAUGCCCUCCUCCAGGGGAGAAUCCUGAUCCAGAGAUUGAACCCAAGUCUCCUGCAUUGGCAGGUGGGUUCUUUAGCACUAGCGUCACCUAAAAUAACACUAA
This is a long non-coding RNA of Cervus elaphus (red deer), 3208 nucleotides long. RefSeq lists it as uncharacterized. NCBI's taxonomy places the organism in Eukaryota, Metazoa, Chordata, Mammalia, Artiodactyla, Cervidae. The transcript has 3 exons. The record is from RefSeq and is a predicted model, not a curated record.